Molecule: ribosomal RNA, 250 nt
Filed under: uncultured bacterium
Lineage: Bacteria
Description: partial 16S ribosomal RNA
Rfam family: Bacterial small subunit ribosomal RNA
Source: RNAcentral
UACGUAGGGUGCGAGCGUUGUCCGGAAUUAUUGGGCGUAAAGAGCUUGUAGGCGGCUUGUCGCGUCUGCUGUGAAAGCCCGGGGCUUAACCCCGGGUCUGCAGUGGGUACGGGCAGGCUAGAGUAUGGUAGGGGAGACUGGAAUUCCUGGUGUAGCGGUGGAAUGCGCAGAUAUCAGGAGGAACACCGAUGGCGAAGGCAGGUCUCUGGGCCAUAACUGACGCUGAGAAGCGAAAGCGUGGGGAGCGAAC